GUUCACAUCGACGGGGAGGUUUGGCACCUCGAUGUCGGCUCAUCGCAUCCUGGGGCUGUAGUCGGUCCCAAGGGUUGGGCUGUUCGCCCAUUAAAGCGGUACGCGAGCUGGGUUCAGAACGUCGUGAGACAGUUCGGUCCCUAUCCGUCGUGGGCGUAGGAAAUUUGAGAGGAGCUGUCCUUAGUACGAGAGGACCGGGAUGGACAUACCUCUGGUGUACCAGUUGUCGUGCCAACGGCAUAGCUGGGUAGCUAUGUGUGGACGGGAUAAGUGCUGAAAGCAUCUAAGCAUGAAGCCCCCCUCAAGAUGAGAUUUCCCAACUUCGGUUAUAAGAUCCCUCAAAGAUGAUGAGGUUAAUAGGUUCGAGGUGGAAGCAUGGUGACAUGUGGAGCUGACGAAUACUAAUCGAUCGAAGACUUAAUCAA
RNAcentral lists this ribosomal RNA (425 nucleotides) under Staphylococcus aureus. RNAcentral's name for it is "partial 23S ribosomal RNA". It matches the Rfam family "Bacterial large subunit ribosomal RNA", at positions 2498 to 2925 of the family's 2925-position model. The record is from RNAcentral. Lineage: Bacteria; Bacillati; Bacillota; Bacilli; Caryophanales; Staphylococcaceae.